Molecule: ribosomal RNA, 279 nt
Filed under: uncultured bacterium
Lineage: Bacteria
Description: partial 16S ribosomal RNA
Rfam family: Bacterial small subunit ribosomal RNA
Source: RNAcentral
UGCCAGCCGCCGCGGUAAUACAGAGGGUGCGAGCGUUAAUCGGAAUGACUGGGCGUAAAGGGUGUGUAGGCGGAAGUAUAAGAUAGAUGUGAAAGCCCUGGGCUUAACCUAGGAGUGCCAUCUAAGACUGUACAUCUAGAGUUGUGUAGAGGGGAGUGGAAUUUCCGGAGGAGCGGUGAAAUGCGUAGAUCUCGGAAGGAACACCGGUGGCGAAGGCGACCUCCUGGACUGAUAUUGACGCUGAGGUGCGAAAGCGUGGGGAGCAAACAGGAUUAGAUA